CUGAGUUUACAACUCCUAAACCCACUGUGAAUUUACAUCUGUCGUUCCUUUGGCAGGCGGUUCCUGGGAGGAGCCAUAGCCUAAUGGGCGCCUGCCAUAGGGGCUGAAACUCUUGAAUUUCAGUUGUCUGAGCUCUUAUAAAUAAGAAUCA
This 151-nucleotide unclassified non-coding RNA is filed under the name uncultured Ascomycota. RNAcentral's name for it is "sequence contains ITS1". Lineage: Eukaryota; Fungi; Ascomycota. The record is from RNAcentral.